RNAcentral lists this ribosomal RNA (450 nucleotides) under uncultured Glomus. Its description in RNAcentral is "SSU rRNA". It matches the Rfam family "Eukaryotic small subunit ribosomal RNA", at positions 569 to 1025 of the family's 1831-position model. The record is from RNAcentral. Lineage: Eukaryota; Fungi; Glomeromycota; Glomeromycetes; Glomerales; Glomeraceae.
AGCAGCCGCGGUAAUUCCAGCUCCAAUAGCGUAUAUUAAAGUUGUUGCAGUUAAAAAGCUCGUAGUUGAAUUUCGGGAUCAAUAUAUCGGUCGUGCCUUGGUACGUACUGGUAUCAUUGGUUUCUCCUUUCUGACGAACCAUGAUGUCAUUAAUUUGGUGUUAUGGGAAGUUAGGACUGUUACUUUGAAAAAUUAGAGUGUUUAAAGCAGGCUUUAGCUUGAAUACAUUAGCAUGGAAUAAUGAAAUAGGACGUUCGAACCUAUUUUGUUGGCUUCUAGGAUCAACGUAAUGAUUAAUAGGGAUAGUUGGGGGCAUUAGUAUUCAAUUGUCAGAGGUGAAAUUCUUGGAUUUAUUGAAGACUAACUACUGCGAAAGCAUUUGCCAAGGAUGUUUUCAUUAAUCAAGAACGAAAGUUAGGGGAUCGAAGACGAUCAGAUACCGUCGUAGUC